Molecule: ribosomal RNA, 1413 nt
Filed under: Bacillus cereus
Lineage: Bacteria; Bacillati; Bacillota; Bacilli; Caryophanales; Bacillaceae
Description: 16S ribosomal RNA
Rfam family: Bacterial small subunit ribosomal RNA
Source: RNAcentral
AGUCGAGCGAAGGAUUAGAGCUUGCUCUUAUGAAGUUAGCGGCGGACGGGUGAGUAACACGUGGGUAACCUGCCCAUAAGACUGGGAUAACUCCUGGGAAACCGGUGGCUAAUACCGGAUAACAUUUUGAACUGCAUGGUUCGAAAUUGAAAGGCGGCUUCGGCUGUCACUUAUGGAUGGACCCGCGUCCCAUUAGCUAGUUGGUGAGGUAACGGCUCACCAAGGCAACGAUGCGUAGCCGACCUGAGAGGGUGAUCGGCCACACUGGGACUGACACACGGCCCAGACUCCUACGGGAGGCAGCAGUAGGGAAUCUUCCGCAAUGGACGAAAGUCUGACGGAGCAACGCCGCGUGAGUGAUGAAGGCUUUCGGGUCGUAAAACUCUGUUGUUAGGGAAGAACAAGUGCUAGUUGAAUAAGCUGGCACCUUGACGGUACCUAACCAGAAAGCCACGGCUAACUACGUGCCAGCAUCCGCGGUAAUACGUAGGUGGCAAGCGUUAUCCGGAAUUAUUGGGCGUAAAGCGCGCGCAGGUGGUUUCUUAAGUCUGAUGUGAAAGCCCACGGCUCAACCGUGGAGGGUCAUUGGAAACUGGGAGACUUGAGUGCAGAAGAGGAAAGUGGAAUUCCCUGUGUACCGGUGAAAUGCGUAGAGAUAUGGAGGAACACCAGUGGCGAAGGCGACUUUCUGGUCUGUAACUGACACUGAAGAGCGAAAGCGCGGGGAGUCAACAGGAUUAUAUACCCUGGUAGUCCACGCCGUAAACAAUGAGUGCUAAGUGUUAGAGGGCUUCCGCCCUUUAGUGCUCAACUAACGCAUUAAGCACUCCGCCUGGGGAGUACGGCCGCAAGGCUGAAACUCAAAGGAAUUGACGGGGGCCCGCACAAGCGGUGGAGCAUGUGGUUUAAUUCGAAGCAACGCGAAGAACCUUACCAGGUCUUGACAUCCUCUGAAAACCCUAGAGAUAGGGCUUCUCCUUCGGGAGCAGAGUGACAGGUGGUGCAUGGUUGUCGUCAGCUCGUGUCGUGAGAUGUUGGGUUAAGUCCCGCAACGAGCGCAACCCUUGAUCUUAGUUGCCAUCAUUAAGUUGGGCACUCUAAGGUGACUGCCGGUGACAAACCGGAGGAAGGUGGGGAUGACGUCAAAUCAUCAUGCCCCUUAUGACCUGGGCUACACACGUGCUACAAUGGACGGUACAAAGAGCUGCAAGACCGCGAGGUGGAGCUAAUCUCAUAAAACCGUUCUCAGUUCGGAUUGUAGGCUGCAACUCGCCUACAUGAAGCUGGAAUCGCUAGUAAUCGCGGAUCAGCAUGCCGCGGUGAAUACGUUCCCGGGCCUUGUACACACCGCCCGUCACACCACGAGAGUUUGUAACACCCGAAGUCGGGGGGUAACCUUUUGGAGCCAGCCGC